UGUCAGGCUGUGACCCUCUUGAGGGAAGCACUUUCUGUUGUCUGAAAGAAAAGAAAGUGCUUCCUUUUAGAGGCUUACUGUCUGAGA
Molecule: microRNA precursor, 87 nt
Organism: Pan troglodytes (chimpanzee)
Lineage: Eukaryota; Metazoa; Chordata; Mammalia; Primates; Hominidae
Rfam family: mir-515 microRNA precursor family
Source: Rfam